Molecule: non-coding RNA, 2269 nt
Organism: Phoenix dactylifera (date palm)
Lineage: Eukaryota; Viridiplantae; Streptophyta; Magnoliopsida; Arecales; Arecaceae
Source: RefSeq, a predicted model, not a curated record
UACUUCUUAUCCUUCUGGUUGUUUUUUUCCUGCUUUUUUUUUAUAAAAAAUUAUGAAAACUAAACCUUCAGAAGCAAUUUAGCCAUUCUAUUUUGGUCCCUCCCCUUUACGUAGAGUUUUCUCAAAUCUCUGCUCUCUCAAAUGUUGGACCAGCUUCUAACAACAGAGUAUGCCACCUUACCCCUCCUUCUGUCUAGUCAUGCUUAUAAGUGGCAUUUUCUUCUGCAUGAAUUAUGAAUGUCUAGAUGAGAUUAUCUGAUGUAAUAUAGAAAUUUAUACAAUUUAGUCUCUAGGUUGGAUUUUGGGUUUUCAUAGAUAUGAAUCUCAAUGCCUCCCGAAUCAAAAUUUUAAUAUCAUUGCUCUUCAGCUUUUUUGUUCCCCCCCCUAAUGAGUCAUUGUUCUUGUAUGGAUGAAUGUGAAGAUGCUAUUAUCAAUUUAUAGUCCCGCCAUUUACAAUCUAAUAUCUUCAAUCUUGGUUUUUGGGUUUAUAUAGAAAACUCAUUGCCAACUGAUUCAAAAGUUCAGCUUGAAUGUAAUCAGUGUCAUGUUUGCACUUGUCGAGUUUAGAGAUUUGUUUUUUUUAUCAGCUAUGGUAAAAAUUAAUGAAUUUGAUGCUAUAAUUGAUGUACCUUGGAAAAACAAUGUAUGCAUGGCAUGCUGUGGCGUCAUGGACAUGGGAUGCAUAAGACGAAACACUUGGGAGUUGUAGAAUGAUAUUUGAUGGAUGUUCCCUGAUUGUACAAUCCUAGGUGAUGACUGCCCAUUAACAUGCACUGAAGUGGGGAUUGGGAAGAGGCACUGAACCCUAUCAGGCCACCUUCGCCUCGAAGGGUUUCUGAAAACACUGAUGCGAGGAGUUUUGGGGAGAUUGCUAACUUUAACAUUCUGGUCUCUCUGAUGGGCCCAAAUAAUGGCCUAGAGUAGCAUAUGGACCCCUAGUAUUUAAGCAUGUGGCCCUUUUACCACUAAAGAGGCACUAAUCCAAUCUUUUAAAAGACAAAAACAUUAAUUCAAGUAUUUAAAUUUUCUGAGUGGGAUAUUGUGUAUAUAUAUAUAUAUAUAUAUAUAUAUAUAUAUAUAUAUAUAUAUAUAUAUGUAUCUUUGUGUGUUUGUGUGUAUGUACAAUAUCUUUCUGCAUGUCAUAUAUGUAGAGCCAUGUCCAUGCAUCCAAGUUUUCUCAGGUUGAUGUGUCAGAUAGUUCAAGAUACACUUGAAACUGUUCCUGUGCCCUGGUAACACUGCUUAUUCUUUCUAUAAUUUGUAACAUAGUGCAAAUAUAUUCAAAAUCUAUCUUUCUUGCAGUUUUUUAAUGCAAGACAACUUGAUGAAUUAAGAAUUUGGUGAUCCGUGUGGAAAACAAGCAUUACCAUAUCAGGCAGCACACCAAUUUUGAAAAGCACUCAGUGAUGGCUGCUAGAAUAAGUACUAGAAUUUACAGGAGUCAGUGACAUAUAGCAGCCUAUUUACUGAAGCUGCACGUGCUCUUUCUUUUUGGGACUUCUUGGACACACUGUCCCAACUGCCGGUGGAAAUGACAGUUUAAAGCAUAAAAGAUUUUGGAAGCCUGGAACCUUUCAUUCCAUCUUUUUGGUAUUUUUGGCAUGCUCAAAUGGGUGAAUUCAGAGACAUCUCAGCCACGCUGUCCCAUGUGCCAGAGGGAUGACAGUUUAAAGCAUAAAAGAUGUAUACUGCUUGGUUAGUUCUUUGGCCCUCAUGUUGUGUCUCAAAGCUCAUAAAAUCAAGAUCAUUGAGUUUUCAUGCGAGCAAGGGGCAGAAAUGCUUAGAUGGACAAAAGCUCCAUUUACUCGACAAAGAGGCUCAUGCAGUGACAUGUUGGAGGAGGACCGCACCAAUUUGCAAAGCAAAAGAACAGGGAUGAAGAAAAGAUAAGUACAACUUCUCCUGAUUUUUCUUUGGUGGCUUUCUUUCCUUCAUUUUGAUCGGUCAGUUUAGGACCCAUUCAUAAUUACAUUCAAGGGGGUCGAAAACGGAUAGCAUAUAUUUACAAAGUAAAGGUGCAGGGAAAAAGAGAAGCGGCCAAGAAAUGGUCAGUCUAGAUUCACCUUAGAUGACCACUUCUCGAGGGUAAGUUUUAACAACUUAAAAUAGCUUCAGUGGCUUUCAUUUAUUUGGGAGCUUCUAAAAGGCGAGUUCUGAUUUGUAGGAACUAAAAAUAAUGGGGCAGGAAAAAUAAAACAGUUAUAGAAGCUACAUUCACUAUGUAUGUACAUUUGAACCUUGAAAUAGCUGCUAUAUAAGCUUCUUAUCA